RNAcentral lists this unclassified non-coding RNA (1391 nucleotides) under Hevea brasiliensis (rubber tree). Lineage: Eukaryota; Viridiplantae; Streptophyta; Magnoliopsida; Malpighiales; Euphorbiaceae. The record is from RNAcentral.
CCUCAAGCCAAUUUGUAAACUCCAACAAAAGGCAUCAGAACACUCCCCAUCCACAGUUUCCCAUCCUUCUCUUCCACUUCACUAAUUGCUUUGACAACCUUCCCCUGACUGUCCUCCAAAACCUGCAAAAGCUUACCUUCUGGACUGUAUUUAGCGACCACUGCAUGAAGCCGGCCCCCAAUGUGAAGCAGGUACUGGAUCUUGGUUGGAAUUGGAAGCUUGAGCAAGAACAUCCUCAGUUUAGGGUAUCUUGCACACAUGUAACUAUAAAAGGUACGACGACAGUGAACUGCUACCCAAAAGUUGCCCUCUGCAUUUGUCCUGACAUUGUCAGGAAAUCCUGGUAAGAUGGCAAAUACUUCUGAAGUCCCUGCUUUCUCGCCUUUCAGCCAGUACUUGCGCAAUCUGCCAAGGGAUCCUUCACAGAAAACAAAGAAGGUACCAUCCUUGCUUAAGGACACACCAUUUGGAAAUUGAAGAUUCCUUACAAGGACAGUGGUUUCCUUUGUAAUUGGAUUGUACUUUAGAACCCUCCCGCUAUCAUCGGCAGAAAAAACCAAUUGCAUGAAGUUCCUCCUCUGGUAUUGAGUGCUACUAUCUGUGAAAUAAAUGUUCCCUCGAUCAUCAAUGUCUAGAUCAUUGGUAAACUGCAGUGGGAUCCCUUCUGCUUCAGUUGUUAGUGAUGUUGCCAAGCCACCUUCUGGCCCCACCUUCAACAGCCCAAAAUAUGCAUCAGCAAUGUAUAAAUCACCGGUUUUCUUAUCAAAUCGAAGCCCCAAAGGCCUGCCACAAAUGUGCUCAUUCUUCAAAUAACUCAAAGGUGAUGGUUUUGGGUUGCAAAUUUCUGAUCUAUAAGGUGAAGUAUAAGCAAAAUCAAUCCAUUUAUGACCAUCCCAGAACACGAUUCUCCCAUCCGCAAGACCAGUGUAAGGCCCCCGGCCAAGAGGGUCAAAGGCGAUACUCUCAGGGCCUUGAACUUGAUUGAGAAACUUAAUUUCAGAUCUUUGCAGUAAGUUAUCCUUGUCUUUCUCGGUAGGAACCAAUGACCAGUCCGGCAUGUCAACUUUCACGGCCUUGAAGUCUGGGAAUUCUGAGAUAGCACUGUGCUUAAGAGGGUCAAUGCCACAGUACAAGGCUAAAAGGAGGAAGAGACCGGCGAGAAUUCCAGUGGGAGUCAUUGCGGAGAAGGUUGAGCUUCCGGUCAGAGAGAGGAAGGGUAGCCUGGGGCUGUAAAUGAAGUGGAGUGGUGGCAGAGUGUCAACUACCUCCUGAGUAGGGGGUUUAGAAAGCUUAAAUAUGAACGCGAGGUCUCCUUGGAGCUUCAAGCUUUAGUCAGUAUGGUGGGCGUUUGAAAAUAGGAUUUGAAUGAAAAUAUCACGCACCCGACCCAC